CAGCUCUCCGAGUGGUAGGGAUGAUUAUUGGGCCUAAAGCAUCCGUAGCCGGCGCUGUAAGUUUUCGGUUAAAUCUGUACGCUCAACGUACAGGCUGCCGGGAAUACUGCAGCGCUAGGGAGUGGGAGAGGUAGACGGUACUCGGUAGGAAGGGGUAAAAUCCUUUGAUCUAUUGAUGACCACCUGUGGCGAAGGCGGUCUACCAGAACACGUCCGACGGUGAGGGAUGAAAGCUGGGGGAGCAAACCGGAUUAGAGACCCGAGUAGUCC
RNAcentral lists this ribosomal RNA (270 nucleotides) under uncultured archaeon. RNAcentral describes it as "partial 16S ribosomal RNA". It matches the Rfam family "Archaeal small subunit ribosomal RNA", at positions 477 to 747 of the family's 1478-position model. The record is from RNAcentral.